This 1397-nucleotide ribosomal RNA is filed under the name metagenome. RNAcentral describes it as "bacterial LSU rRNA". It matches the Rfam family "Bacterial large subunit ribosomal RNA", at positions 1548 to 2925 of the family's 2925-position model. The record is from RNAcentral.
UAUUCAGCCUGAGAUGUGAUGCCGAGCCGAUUGUGGUGAAGUGGAUGAUCCUAUGCUGCCGAGUAAAGCCUCUAAUGAGUGUUGUGGCGGCCCGUACCCUAAACCGACUCAGGUGGUCAGGUAGAGAAUACCAAGGCGAUCGGGUGAACUGUGGUUAAGGAACUCGGCAAAUUGCCCCCGUAACUUCGGGAGAAGGGGGACCUCUGCUGGUGAUGGGCUUUACGUUCUGAGCUGGUGGGGGUCGCAGUGGCCAGGGGGAAGCGACUGUUUACUAAAAACACAGGUCCGUGCGAAGUCGUAAGACGAUGUAUACGGACUGACGCCUGCCCGGUGCCGGAACGUUAAGGGGACCGCUUAGCCAACGCGAGUUGGCGAAGGUGAGAACUUAAGCGCCGGUAAACGGCGGUGGUAACUAUAACCAUCCUAAGGUAGCGAAAUUCCUUGUCGGGUAAGUUCCGACCUGCACGAAUGGCGUAACGACUUCCCCGCUGUCUCAACCACAGACCCGGCGAAAUUGCACUACGAGUAAAGAUGCUCGUUUCGCGCAGCAGGACGGAAAGACCCCGGGACCUUCACUACAGCUUGACAUUGGCGUUUGGAACGUCUUGUGUAGGAUAGGUGGGAGACUGGGAAGCUGUCACGCUAGUGAUGGUGGAGUCAUUGGUGAAAUACCACUCUGGUCGUUUUGAACGUCUAACUCUGGUCCGUGAUCCGGAUCGGGGACAGUGUCUGGUGGGUAGUUUAACUGGGGCGGUUGCCUCCUAAAGAGUAACGGAGGCGCCCAAAGGUUCCCUCAGCCUGGUUGGCAAUCAGGUGUUGAGUGUAAGUGCACAAGGGAGCUUGACUGUGAGACUGACAGGUCGAGCAGGAGCGAAAGCUGGGACUAGUGAUCCGGCAUCGGCGUGUGGAAGCGGUGUCGCUCAACGGCUAAAAGGUACCCCGGGGAUAACAGGCUGAUCUUCCCCAAGAGCCCAUAUCGACGGGAUGGUUUGGCACCUCGAUGUCGGCUCGUCGCAUCCUGGGGCUGGAGUAGGUCCCAAGGGUUGGGCUGUUCGCCCAUUAAAGCGGUACGCGAGCUGGGUUUAGAACGUCGCGAGACAGUUCGGUCCCUAUCCGCUGCGCGCGCAGGAGACUUGAAGGGGGCUGUCCCUAGUACGAGAGGACCGGGACGGACGAACCUCUGGUGUGCCAGUUGUACCGCCAGGUGCACGGCUGGUUGGCUACGUUCGGAAGGGAUAACCGCUGAAAGCAUCUAAGCGGGAAGCUCGCCUUGAGAUGAGGUCUCCCACCCCGUGAGGGGGUAAGGCUCCCGGUAGAUCACCGGGUUGAUAGGCCGGAGGUGGAAGCACGGUAACGUGUGGAGCUGACCGGUACUAAUAGGCCGAGGACUUGACCAC